CCUACGGGAGGCUGCAGUGAGGAAUAUUGGUCAAUGGGCGCGAGCCUGAACCAGCCAAGUCGCGUGAGGGAGGACGGCCCUACGGGUUGUAAACCUCUUUUGCCGGGGAGCAACGGGCGUCACGUGUGGCGCCACUGAGAGUACCCGGAGUAAAAGCAUCGGCUAACUCCGUGCCAGCAGACGCGGUAAUACGGGGGAUGCGAGCGUUAUCCGGAUUUAUUGGGUUUAAGGGGUGCGUAGGCGGAUCGUUAAGUCAGUGGUCAAAUUGAGGGGCUCAAUCCCUUCCCGCCAUUGAAACUGGCGUUCUUGAGUGGAAGAGAAGUAUGCGGAAUGCGGGGUGUAGCGGUGAAAUGCAUAGAUAUCACGCAGAACCCCGAUUGCGAAGGCAGCAUGCCGGCUUCCGACUGACGCUGAAGCACGAAAGCGUGGGGAUCGAACAGGAUUAGAUACCCUAGUAGUC
RNAcentral lists this ribosomal RNA (460 nucleotides) under uncultured bacterium. RNAcentral's name for it is "partial 16S ribosomal RNA". It matches the Rfam family "Bacterial small subunit ribosomal RNA", at positions 338 to 795 of the family's 1533-position model. The record is from RNAcentral.